GAGAUUUCCCAACUUCGGUUAUAAGAUCCCUCAAAGAUGAUGAGGUGAAUAGGUUCGAGGUGGAAGCGUGGCGACACGUGGAGCUGACGAAUACUAAUCGAUCGAAGACUUAAUCAA
RNAcentral lists this ribosomal RNA (117 nucleotides) under Staphylococcus pettenkoferi. RNAcentral describes it as "partial 23S ribosomal RNA". It matches the Rfam family "Bacterial large subunit ribosomal RNA", at positions 2806 to 2925 of the family's 2925-position model. The record is from RNAcentral. Lineage: Bacteria; Bacillati; Bacillota; Bacilli; Caryophanales; Staphylococcaceae.